Alligator mississippiensis (American alligator) is the source of this 1929-nucleotide long non-coding RNA. RefSeq lists it as uncharacterized. The record is from RefSeq and is a predicted model, not a curated record. Lineage: Eukaryota; Metazoa; Chordata; Crocodylia; Alligatoridae. The transcript has 5 exons.
AGAACAGUAGUCAUUUCCUUCUGCAACCUCAGCUAAGAAACAGAUGGGCUUUGAAGUGCACUAAAACCAGGGCAGAUCCAGAGUGGAUGUAGUGGUGGGGCCUCACCUUCCUUUCUGAUCAUGCAGCAAGAGGAGCAAUCAGGGACUUUAAGUCCCCAAUGAAGAACAUUAUGAAUAAAGAGCUGAUGUAAGAGGACGCGGCUGAUGCCGAGGAAGUGCCAGACAGGAUUUUGACAUUUUACGAGGUGGAUCAGAAACAGAAUUGGAGCUAUUUUAUCUGGACCUAAUUAAACAACCUUCAUUACUGGCAGGUCUUGAAAUAAAUGAAGGCAGCUCCUGGUCUGACUCUUCAUCGAUACAUUUUGUGCUUGUUUAAUUUUCCAUAAAAAUAUUGUGUGCUCAUAAAAAAUAUCAACAGCUGUGCCAUACUAGAGCCUGACUAGGUCUUUUGCUACAUUAAGCUAGGGUAGUAUGUAGCAGCACUGCUACUCACCCUUCCCUCCAGCACAGGAAUCCACUUCAUGCUGGUGUCAUACCUCAUUUCUUUUUCCUUAAAGGUGUCCUUGUGUCUGCUUCCCUUUAGCAGGCACACUUAUCUCCAAACAUGAAAGUUUUUGCAUUGGCUGCAGUGGUGCUUUGAAAAAAGCAUUCACUCUACCCAAAAGAUUAGGAUCAAGGACACUUCUGGAAUAGGGAGAUGGUGAACAGAAACUCAACAGUUGAAAAGAGUGUUUGAAAUUGGGACUGACGAUAUAAUCCUGUCAUCUCUUUGGCUUGGGUAAAGCACGCCUGAGAGACCUCUCUAUUGUAAUCUAGUACUUAUUAACUAACACACUAUUCAAUGGACAUGGUAAAAUCUUGGGUCCAAUAAAGUCAGUUAACUUCCUCUGCUCAGGAUUUCUUCCUGAGUAUGGACCACAAUGGUAAUAAAUAAAGAUGAAUUUGUAACUGUCAUUGCAGAGGCUAGUUCAGAUAAUCUAAAAAUUACAGUUUUUGUGACAUUGGGAAUAUCUGAACCCCUUUGUUGGAUACUGAAAAACCAAUUUUCAGCAUGCGUUAAUACUGACUUAAUAUCUGAAAUAUAAGUUCCCUAUGUAAAUAUUAACUAUUUUGUUUAAACAUUAAAGGUCUUUUUUAUCCAGAAUGUUAAAUUAGCAUUUAUACUGAAAAAAGUCCAAAAUUUGAAGAAAGUGCCUUGAUAUAUUAGGUAAUAGCUGAAGUUCUCCCACCCUGGAUUAAUUAUAAUUAGGAGAGAUGCAUGUACAGUUGGAAUGUCAUUCAUUUCCUUGGGCUUUAGUGGAUUUUAGCUGUAACUGCUGCAUCAGUCCAAUUUUCUGCAUAACUUACCUUAACAGGGUUUCACAAGCUGAUCUAUACUGAUUUGUCACAUUUUCCCACUGUAUACCUUACAAAAGAUCUCAUGGUGAAGCAGAAGUAAGCUCAUGGUCCCACAAGAUGUGGCCAUAAUAUAGAUCAAUAUAAUGGAGUAUGAUGAAACUAAGGAAACUGACCUUUAUAUGAACUAACUGCUGGUAUUCUUGAAAUUUGAACUAGCGCUUUAGUUCUGGUAAGACUGCAAAAGAGCUAAUAAUCUGCAAUGCUGACAAAAAAGAAUUCACUAUAAAAUAAAUGCCCGUCUGCCUGCCUGACCAUCAAAAUUAAAGCAGGGAACUAAUUUAUUGCCACCUGUCCCAGAGACAAAUAUGUAAGAUAAAUGUGCACCGUGCGAUCCAGGAUGACAUCUGGGGGAGCAUUUAUUGUCUGUCAAAGUUAUUGAGAAAAGAGCAACUAUGCCAGUUGUUGCCCUAAUUCUUUUUAAGUAUGUAAGCAAUUUACAAUGAAAAGCAUUAAAAAUGGUGUGUGUUUUUGGAGUGAUUUGUGUCCAUUAGGUAUUUUAAGAUAGAUAAAUAAAACUCUGGGUUUUUUUUC